RNAcentral lists this ribosomal RNA (401 nucleotides) under Rhizobiaceae bacterium GWS-BW-H42M. RNAcentral describes it as "bacterial SSU rRNA". It matches the Rfam family "Bacterial small subunit ribosomal RNA", at positions 337 to 755 of the family's 1533-position model. Lineage: Bacteria; Pseudomonadati; Pseudomonadota; Alphaproteobacteria; Hyphomicrobiales; Rhizobiaceae. The record is from RNAcentral.
GGCUACGGGAGGCAGCAGUGGGGAAUAUUGGACAAUGGGCGCAAGCCUGAUCCAGCCAUGCCGCGUGAGUGAUGAAGGCCUUAGGGUUGUAAAGCUCUUUCACCGGAGAAGAUAAUGACGGUAUCCGGAGAAGAAGCCCCGGCUAACUUCGUGCCAGCAGCCGCGGUAAUACGAAGGGGGCUAGCGUUGUUCGGAAUUACUGGGCGUAAAGCGCACGUAGGCGGAUAUUUAAGUCAGGGGUGAAAUCCCAGAGCUCAACUCUGGAACUGCCUUUGAUACUGGGUAUCUUGAGUAUGGAAGAGGUAAGUGGAAUUCCGAGUGUAGAGGUGAAAUUCGUAGAUAUUCGGAGGAACACCAGUGGCGAAGGCGGCUUACUGGUCCAUUACUGACGCUGAGGUGCG